Vicia villosa (hairy vetch) is the source of this 549-nucleotide long non-coding RNA. RefSeq lists it as uncharacterized. The record is from RefSeq and is a predicted model, not a curated record. NCBI's taxonomy places the organism in Eukaryota, Viridiplantae, Streptophyta, Magnoliopsida, Fabales, Fabaceae. The transcript has 2 exons.
CACUAUAAAGGUGUCAAAAAAUAUUUUAUUUCUUACAUCCAAUUAGAUAAAAAUAUGGCCAAAACUCUCAAAUUUGUGUACGUAUAAUUUUAUUUCUUUCAAUAUUUCUUGUUGCAAAGACAAUUGAAGUGAAAUGUAAAGAGGAUGAUGAUUGUCCAGAACUAAUUGUUACUUCUCAUCUCCCCCCCAAAUGCAUUAACGGUAAUGACUAUACUUAUCUGACCUAAGAGAGGGGUGUAGUUACCGUGCAUAGAUAAAAAUCUAUGCACCGUGCAUAGAUUAUUAUGAACCCUUGGAUCAUUAGAUCAAAUUAUAAACAUCAAUUGUUAUUACUCAAUACUCAAUACUCACCACUCAAAACUCAAUACUCACAACUCAAUACUCAAUACUCAAUUAAAAACAUGAUCCAAUGGCUUAUUAGCCAAUGCCCUAAGGGAGUACACUUACUUUGUGCAAGGAGGAAUAAUUUUGUACUCUAAAAUGUUCGUAAUAAAAUGAAACAUUGAAAUAAAGCAUAUUAAAAUAAAAUUAUUGUUUUCUCUCUUGGAA